RNAcentral lists this non-coding RNA (176 nucleotides) under Pseudogymnoascus sp. VKM F-4519 (FW-2642). RNAcentral's name for it is "Eukaryotic small subunit ribosomal RNA". It matches the Rfam family "Eukaryotic small subunit ribosomal RNA", at positions 1511 to 1642 of the family's 1831-position model. Lineage: Eukaryota; Fungi; Ascomycota; Leotiomycetes; Thelebolales; Thelebolaceae. The record is from Rfam by way of RNAcentral.
GGGAUGUGCGUUUUGAUCGCUCGAUGUUGACGGGCGAGUCCGACGAAGUCUAGUUCAUCACCUUGACCGAAAGGUCUGGGUAAUCUUGUUAAACUCUGUCGUGCUGGGGAUAGAGCAUUGCAAUUAUUGCUCUUCAACGAGGAAUUCCUAGUAGGCGCGAGUCAUCAGCUCGUGCC